RNAcentral lists this non-coding RNA (102 nucleotides) under Haloplasma contractile. Its description in RNAcentral is "Guanine sequence". It matches the Rfam family "Purine riboswitch aptamer". From Rfam's summary of the family: Riboswitches are metabolite binding domains within certain messenger RNAs that serve as precision sensors for their corresponding targets. Allosteric rearrangement of mRNA structure is mediated by ligand binding, and this results in modulation of gene expression. Lineage: Bacteria; Bacillati; Mycoplasmatota; Mollicutes; Haloplasmatales; Haloplasmataceae. RNAcentral also lists the same sequence under 1 other name. The record is from RNAcentral.
UUGAUAAAAUAUAAGUGUAUUCGUAUAAUAUCGGAAAUAUGGUCCGAAAGUCUCUACCCUGAAACCGUAAAUUUCGGGACUACGAAAUGCAGUGUACAAACC